This 696-nucleotide ribosomal RNA is filed under the name Psychrobacter sp. EK-I39. RNAcentral's name for it is "bacterial SSU rRNA". It matches the Rfam family "Bacterial small subunit ribosomal RNA", at positions 29 to 718 of the family's 1533-position model. Lineage: Bacteria; Pseudomonadati; Pseudomonadota; Gammaproteobacteria; Moraxellales; Moraxellaceae. The record is from RNAcentral.
UUGAACGCUGGCGGCAGGCUUAACACAUGCAAGUCGAGCGGNAACGAUNGCAGCUUGCUAUUNGCUGUCGAGCGGCGGACGGGUGAGUAAUACUUAGGAAUCUACCUAGUAGUGGGGGAUAGCACGGGGAAACUCGUAUUAAUACCGCAUACGACCUACGGGAGAAAGGGCGCAGUUUACUGCUCUCGCUAUUAGAUGAGCCUAAGUCGGAUUAGCUAGAUGGUGGGGUAAAGGCCUACCAUGGCGACGAUCUGUAGCUGGUCUGAGAGGAUGAUCAGCCACACCGGGACAGAGACACGGCCCGGACUCCUACGGGAGGCAGCAGUGGGGAAUAUUGGACAAUGGGGGAAACCCUGAUCCAGCCAUGCCGCGUGUGUGAAGAAGGCCUUUUGGUUGUAAAGCACUUUAAGGAGUGAAGAAGACUCCGUGGUUAAUACCCAUGGACGAUGACAUUAGCUGCAGAAUAAGCACCGGCUAACUCUGUGCCAGCAGCCGCGGUAAUACAGAGGGUGCAAGCGUUAAUCGGAAUUACUGGGCGUAAAGGGAGCGUAGGUGGCUCUAUAAGUCAGAUGUGAAAUCCCCGGGCUUAACCUGGGAACUGCAUCUGAAACUGUAGAGCUAGAGUAUGUGAGAGGAAGGUAGAAUUCCAGGUGUAGCGGUGAAAUGCGUAGAGAUCUGGAGGAAUACCGAUGGCGA